This 459-nucleotide ribosomal RNA is filed under the name uncultured bacterium. RNAcentral describes it as "partial 16S ribosomal RNA". It matches the Rfam family "Bacterial small subunit ribosomal RNA", at positions 338 to 795 of the family's 1533-position model. The record is from RNAcentral.
CCUACGGGCGGCAGCAGUGAGGAAUAUUGGUCAAUGGGCGCGAGCCUGAACCAGCCAAGUCGCGUGAGGGAAGACGGUCCUAUGGAUUGUAAACCUCUUUUGUCGGGGAGCAAAAGACGCCACGCGUGGCGUUCCGAGAGUACCCGAAGAAAAAGCAUCGGCUAACUCCGUGCCAGCAGCCACGGUAAUACGGAGGAUGCGAGCGUUAUCCGGAUUUAUGGGGUUUAAAGGGUGCGCAGGCGGAAGAUCAAGUCAGCGGUAAAAUUGAGGGGCUCAACCUCUUCGAGCCGUUGAAACUGGUUUUCUUGAGUGAGCGAGAAGUAUGCGGAAUGCGUGGUGUAGCGGUGAAAUGCAUAGAUAUCACGCAGAACUCCGAUUGCGAAGGCAGCAUACCGGCGCUCAACUGACGCUCAUGCACGAAAGUGUGGGUAUCGAACAGGAUUAGAUACCCCAGUAGUC